GACGAACGCUGGCGGCGUGCUUAACACAUGCAAGUCGAACGGAAAGGCCCCUUUGGGGGUACUCGAGUGGCGAACGGGUGAGUAACACGUGAGUAACCUGCCCUUGACUUCGGGAUAACUUCAGGAAACUGGGGCUAAUACCGGAUAGGAAUCCUUGCUGCAUGGUGGGGGUUGGAAAGCUUCGGCGGUUUUGGGUGGACUCGCGGCUUAUCAGCUUGUUGGUGGGGUAGUGGCUUACCAAGGCUUUGACGGGUAGCCGGCCUGAGAGGGCGACCGGCCACAUUGGGACUGAGAUACGGCCCAGACUCCUACGGGAGGCAGCAGGGGGGAAUAUUGCACAAUGGGCGGAAGCCGGAUGCAGCAACGCCGCGUGCGGGAUGACGGCCUUCGGGUUGUAAACCGCUUUCAGCAGGGGCGAAGCUUGUGGUGACGGUACCUGCAGAAGAAGCACCGGCUAACUACGUG
RNAcentral lists this ribosomal RNA (465 nucleotides) under uncultured bacterium. RNAcentral's name for it is "partial 16S ribosomal RNA". It matches the Rfam family "Bacterial small subunit ribosomal RNA", at positions 28 to 507 of the family's 1533-position model. The record is from RNAcentral.